This is a long non-coding RNA of Thalassophryne amazonica, 99 nucleotides long. RefSeq lists it as uncharacterized. The record is from RefSeq and is a predicted model, not a curated record. The transcript has 3 exons. Lineage: Eukaryota; Metazoa; Chordata; Actinopteri; Batrachoidiformes; Batrachoididae.
AACCAUGACUGUCCCUUUAUGAUUUAGUGUUAAACGCAGGCUCUGAACCAAAUCAAAACUGAUCAUAAACCCACAUAUUUGAUUAAUCAUGGCAAGAUG